Molecule: ribosomal RNA, 781 nt
Filed under: uncultured Bacteroidota bacterium
Lineage: Bacteria; Pseudomonadati; Bacteroidota
Description: bacterial SSU rRNA
Rfam family: Bacterial small subunit ribosomal RNA
Source: RNAcentral
GGGUAUAUGUCUUCGGAUAUAGAGACCGGCGCACGGGUGCGUAACGCGUAUGCAAUCCACCUUUUACAAGGGAAUAGCCCAGAGAAAUUUGGAUUAAUGCCCCAUAGUAUAAUUGAAUGGCAUCAUUUAAUUAUUAAAGUCACAACGGUAAAAGAUGAGCAUGCGUCCCAUUAGUUAGUUGGUAAGGUAACGGCUUACCAAGACAAUGAUGGGUAGGGGUCCUGAGAGGGAGAUCCCCCACACUGGUACUGAGACACGGACCAGACUCCUACGGGAGGCAGCAGUGAGGAAUAUUGGACAAUGGGCGCAAGCCUGAUCCAGCCAUGCCGCGUGCAGGAAGACGGUCCUAUGGAUUGUAAACUGCUUUUAUACAGGAAGAAACACUCCGACGUGUCGGAGCUUGACGGUACUGUAGGAAUAAGGAUCGGCUAACUCCGUGCCAGCAGCCGCGGUAAUACGGAGGAUCCAAGCGUUAUCCGGAAUCAUUGGGUUUAAAGGGUCCGUAGGCGGUUUAAUAAGUCAGUGGUGAAAUCUGGUCGCUCAACGAUCAAACGGCCAUUGAUACUGUUAGACUUGAAUUAUAAGGAAGUAACUAGAAUAUGUAGUGUAGCGGUGAAAUGCUUAGAUAUUACAUGGAAUACCAAUUGCGAAGGCAGGUUACUACUUAUGGAUUGACGCUGAUGGACGAAAGCGUGGGGAGCGAACAGGAUUAGAUACCCUGGUAGUCCACGCCGUAAACGAUGGAUACUAGCUGUUGGAAGCAAUUUCAGUGGCUAAGCGA